This 72-nucleotide transfer RNA is filed under the name archaeon. RNAcentral's name for it is "tRNA-Val". It matches the Rfam family "tRNA". Rfam says of the family: Transfer RNA (tRNA) molecules are approximately 80 nucleotides in length. Their secondary structure includes four short double-helical elements and three loops (D, anti-codon, and T loops). The record is from RNAcentral. RNAcentral also lists the same sequence under 1 other name.
GGGCUCGUGGUCUAGUGGUAGGACAACACCUUCACACGGUGUAGGUCGGGAGUUCAAUUCUCCCCGGGCCCA